UUCCUCAUCAAGUAGGUUGCCAGUUUCCACU
RNAcentral lists this non-coding RNA (31 nucleotides) under Rattus norvegicus (Norway rat). Lineage: Eukaryota; Metazoa; Chordata; Mammalia; Rodentia; Muridae. The record is from RNAcentral.